This 428-nucleotide ribosomal RNA is filed under the name uncultured bacterium. RNAcentral describes it as "bacterial SSU rRNA". It matches the Rfam family "Bacterial small subunit ribosomal RNA", at positions 355 to 775 of the family's 1533-position model. The record is from RNAcentral.
UGGGGAAUAUUGGACAAUGGGGGCAACCCUGAUCCAGCGAUGCCGCGUGGGUGAAGAAGGCCUUCGGGUUGUAAAGCCCUUUAGGUUGGGACGAAGUUUGGUGGGAGAAUAUCCCAUCAAGUUGACGGUACCGACAGAAUAAGCACCGGCAAACUCUGUGCCAGCAGCCGCGGUAAUACAGAGGGUGCGAGCGUUAAUCGGAGUUACUGGGCGUAAAGGGCGCGUAGGCGGUUGAGUAUGUGUGAUGUGAAAGCCCUGGGCUUAACCUAGGAAGUGCAUCGCAAACUACUUAACUGGAGUAUAUGAGAGGGUGGUGGAAUUUCCGGUGUAGCGGUGAAAUGCGUAGAGAUCGGAAGGAACGUCAAUGGCGAAGGCAGCCACCUGGCAUAAUACUGACGCUGAGGCGCGAGAGCGUGGGGAGCGAACAG